CCUACGUGAGGCAGCAGUGAGGAAUAUUGGUCAAUGGGCGCGAGCCUGAACCAGCCAAGUAGCGUGAAGGAUGACUGCCCUACGGGUUGUAAACUUCUUUUAUAAAGGAAUAAAGUGAGGCACGUGUGCCUUUUUGUAUGUACUUUCUGAAUAAGUAUCGGCUAACUCCGUGCCAGCAGCCGCGGUAAUACGGAGGAUCCGAGCGUUAUCCGGAUUUAUUGGGUUUAAAGGGAGCGUAGAUGGGUUGUUAAGUCAGUUGUGAAAGUUUGCGGCUCAACCGUAAAAUUGCAAUUGAUACUGGCAGUCUUGAGUACAGUUGAGGUAGGCGGAAUUCGUGGUGUAGCGGUGAAAUGCUUAGAUAUCACGAAGAACUCCGAUUGCGAAGGCAGCUUACUAAACUGCCACUGACAUUGAUGCUCGAAAGUGUGGGUAUCAAACAGGAUUAGAUACCCGUGUAGUC
RNAcentral lists this ribosomal RNA (460 nucleotides) under uncultured bacterium. RNAcentral's name for it is "partial 16S ribosomal RNA". It matches the Rfam family "Bacterial small subunit ribosomal RNA", at positions 338 to 795 of the family's 1533-position model. The record is from RNAcentral.